Sycon ciliatum is the source of this 1680-nucleotide RNA transcript. It is a transcript of the gene named tRNA wybutosine-synthesizing protein 5-like, with no coding region annotated. The record is from RefSeq and is a predicted model, not a curated record. NCBI's taxonomy places the organism in Eukaryota, Metazoa, Porifera, Calcarea, Leucosolenida, Sycettidae. The transcript has 7 exons.
CAAGAAAGCUGGAUGUUGGAUGUUGGAUGUUGGAUCGUUGUAGACUCAGUCAUCUCUUGUUGUUUGACGCGUCUUGGUAACUACUGCGUGUGCUGCCCUAUCUGUCCCAGACUGUGGCCUUGAAAAGUUGCUGAAGAAUUCUUCGUGGAUGAAGUGACGGAGUGAUUUAGAAAUUUUAAUCUUGACUAGUAAUUACAGCCAUGGAGAACCCUGAUAAAGAAGUACCUGUUGUGGAGAACGUCACGAAAGAGCUCUUUCUGUCCGAAAUAUACCCUGCCAGAAAACCCGCUAUUCUGCGUGGUAUUGAGCUUGGCGAGGCUGUGCGAACGUGGACUCCCGAAUAUUUGAGUACAACUGUGGGAUCAAGACCUGUGAAAGUGCACGUUUGUCCAUCAGAUAAGAUGGAUUUUGUGAAAAAGAACUUCGCCUACAAGAAUCUUGGAUUCGAUGAGCUUGUGCAGCGUGCAUCUGCCACGGGACCACUGACAGAGUUCUUCUAUUCUGAGAAUGAAAAGUAUUAUCUGCGUGCGCUGGGCGAUGACGCACGUAAGGAUUGUGCUGAUUUCGCUGUGCAGUUUCCAGAAAUUGCCAAUGACUUGCAGCUACCUUGCUAUUUUGACGAUAGUCAGUUCUUUUCCUCGGUCCUCCGCCUUGGUUCACCUGGUAUUCAACUCUGGACGCAUUAUGAUGUGAUGGAUAAUGUACUGGUGCAAGUAAAAGGAAGCAAACGGGUAGUGCUAUUUGCACCGUCUGAUGCACUACAUCUCUACCUGAGCAGCGACAAAUCACCGAUCCUUGACCCACUUGAGCCGGACCUGAAAGCAUAUCCUGACUAUGCACACGCUCAGAGGUGGGUGUGUACGCUGCGUGAGGGCGAAGUGUUGUUUAUGCCGGCACUCUGGUCGCACAAUGUCCUGGCGCUUGACUUUGGCGUGGCUGUCAACGUAUUCUGGCGGCACCUGGACGCGGACAUGUACGAAAAGCGCGACCCGUACGGCAACAAAGACCCAUCCGUUGCCGGCCGGGCGCUGCAAUCACUCGACAAAUCCAUGCAGUCUCUAUCCGCACUUCCAGCCGAGUACCAGCAGUUCUAUGCGCUUAGAAUGAUGGCUCGACUGCGGGAGAAAUUCUGCUCUGCUGAUGCGGACGGGAGUGGAAGCAGUGAAAAGCAAGAGAGUGAGGAGGAUGGGAAGUGACCUGCAAGGUAAAUUUUCUUUGCAGAUCUCCCUACUGAGACUAACUAGUACUUGAGUCAAUGACCAGCUUGCUUUAUUGAGAGAAAGUUUAUUCACAGACUGUGUGACCUGGACUGGCAGAUUUGCUGUUGAAUAGGAAUUUUAUUUUAUUUUAUUUUCUAGGCUAUUUCACAUUUUCACUGCAUGUAUUCACGGAAGCUUUUAUUUCACUCCCACGCCCAGUUGACCCACUCCAAAUCCUUUUCUCUUCUUCUGUUUUGUGUGUUUCUUCUCAUUCCAGCUUUUGUAGACUCUGCUUUCAAAUUCAAGGCGUUCUUUCAGUUAUCCCUACAGCCCGCUCUGUGCACCCCUGGCCUUGCUACUUUGCUGGGUUUGUGCAGUAAUACGUACUUCAGUGCAACAGUCACAGGAGCAAGGCUAAUUUGUUGCAAUUCCAAGUUUCAUGCUCAAUGCAAUCAGCACGUGACGCCCGUCUUUCAUUCUU